CAGACCAUCCAUUCUCUCCUUUGCUGGCCUUGAUGAAAUAAUCUACCAUAGAGACCUCUGUGGCAAAGAACUAGGAGCCGACUCCAGCUAAGAGCAGCAGGGAAGUCCAACUCAGAGGCUUCACCCCACAAUGAACCACAUUUCUUCAGCACUCUCAUAGCAUUGGCUUCAUCACAAUCUGCCUCAUCUCAGAAUAACAGGUGCUUGCAAGUCACUACACUGACCAGUUGGGGUUUGAAUUUAUGAUCCUCCUGCCUCUGUCUCUCAGAGUGCUGCGAUUACAGGAAAACUAGCAUGUCAGCCUCCUUCACCACAAACCUCGUAGUAGACCACAGUACACUCUCUCUGAGCCUUGGUCAUGACUUGAAGAUGAAUGUAUUAUGAGAUGCUCCUACUUCACAUUUGCAAUAUUUCUAAAAAGAGUUCUGUAAUAGAAAGAAAGAGGAUGACGAUUCUGGAGACUACAUAUUUUGAAUGGCUGUUGAGGUUGCUGCUGAAGAUUCUGCUAGAGAAAUCUUCAAAUGUAGGGUUUCAAUUCAAAACUAUUUCAAUGACUGUG
This 559-nucleotide long non-coding RNA is filed under the name Heterocephalus glaber (naked mole-rat). RNAcentral describes it as "lncRNA (ENSHGLG00000033804.1)". The record is from RNAcentral. Lineage: Eukaryota; Metazoa; Chordata; Mammalia; Rodentia; Bathyergidae.